GGCUAGGGGUCUAAUCGGAGCUAUAGCCACCAGCCUACACCAGAGCCACAGCAGUGUCAGAUCUGAGCCGCGUCUGUGGCCUAUGCCGCAGCUCACAGAAAUGCUGUAUAUGUAACCCACUGAGCGAGGCCAGGGAUUGAACCUGCAACUUCAUGGUUCCUAGUCGGAUUCAUUUCCACUGAGCCAUGACAGGAACUCCAAGUAUAGGUUAUUAUUAAUUAUAGUUACCACAUUGUACAUUAGAUUUCUAGAACUUAGGCAUCAUGCAAUAUUUGUCUUUCGUAUUUAGCUUAUUUCACUUAACACGUUGUCCACCUUCAUUGCCAUUAUCACAAAUAGCAGGAUUUCCUUCUCAUGGCUGAAUAAUAGUCACUGCAUGUCUAUACCAUACUUUUAAAAUCUGUUUCUUUGUCAGUGAACAUAGAUUUUUUUUCCUCAUAUCUUAGAUAAUUGUGAAUAAUGCUACAAUGAAAAUGGGCGUACAGGUAUCUCUUCAAGAUAGUGAUUUUACUUCCUUUGGAUAUUUACUCAGGAGUGGGAUUGCUGGAUUACAUGGUAAUUUUUUAGUUUUUUGAGAAAUGUCUAUAUUGUUCUCCAUAGUGGGUGUACUAGUUUACUUUCCCACCAACAUUGUACAAGGAUUUCCUUUUCUCCACAUCAUCUCUUUUUGAUAAUCUUCAUCCUAGGAGUGAGCUUUAUUGAGCUGUAAUUGACAUAUAACUUUGUAUAAGUUAAAGUGUACAGUAUGAUGAUUUGAUAUACAUAUGUAUUACAGAAUUACCAAAAUAAAGUUACUUAACAUAUCUUUCACCUCACAUGAUUACUGUUUUGUUGUUAUUGUGAGAAUUUUAAAAUCUAUGCAACUUUGGAGCAUAAAUACAGUAUUAUUAAUGUAGUCACAGUGUCGUACGUUAGAUCCUGAUACUUAGGUCUCUGUCACUGAAAGUUUGUACCUUUGUCCAGUACGUCCUCAUUCUCCCACUCUUGCAACCCUUGGUAACUACCUUUCUAUCCUCUGCUUCUACAAAUUCAGUUUUAUUUUUGUUGGUGUUCUUGUUUUUGGUUUUUAGGGCUGUAUUUGUGGCACAUGGAAGAUCCCAGGCUAGGAGUUGAAUUGGAGCUACAGCUAGGGCCUUUGCCACAGCCACAGCAGUGUCAGGUCACAGCGUCUGCGACCUACCCCACAGCUCACAGCAACGCUGGAUCCUUAACCCACUGAGGAUUGAACCUGCAUCCUCAUGGAUACCAGUUGGGUUUGUAACCUGCUGAGCCACAACAGGAACUCCCCAACUUUUUUAUUUUUUAUUUGUACAUUUUUAAAUUUUAUGGCCACAGUCAGGGCAUAUGGAAUUUCCCAGGCUAGGGACUGAAUCUGUAGCUGUAGCAGUGCCAGAUACUUCUAACCCACUGCCAGGCUGGGGAUCACACCCAAGCUGCUGCAGUCAGAUUCUUAACCCAGUUCACCAAAACAGGAACUCUGAGUACACCUUUUCUAGAUUCUGCAUAUAAGCGAGAUUAUACAGUAUGUGUUUUUGUCUGACUUCUGUCACUUAGCAUAAUGCCCUCAAGGUCCAUCCAUGUUGUGGCAAAUGGCAGUAUUUCCUUUUUUUGAUGGUGGUGGUGGGGUUAUGCUUGCAGCAUGCAGAAGUUCUGGGGCCAGGGAUUGAACCCCAUGGCAGUGACAAUGUGACAGUGCCAGAUCUUCAACGUGCUGAACCAUUAUUUCCUUUUUUUUUUUUAGGGCUGCAUCCACGGCCUAUGGAGUUCCUAGGCCAGGGGUUGAAUUGGAGCUAUAGCUGCCAGCCUACGCCACAGCCACAGCAACAUGGGACCUACACCACAGCUCAUGGCAAUGCUGGAUCCCUGACCCACUGAACAAGGCCAGGGGUUGAACCUACAUCCUCAUGGAUACUGGUCGGAUUUGUUUCUGCUGCGCCACAACGGGAACUCCUGGAUUUCCUUCUUUUUAGUGACUGAAUGAUAUUUGUGUGUGUGUGUGUGUGUGUGUGUGUGUGUGUGUGUGUGUUUUCUUCAUCCAUCAGUAGACACGGGUUGUUUCCAUGUCUUGGCUAUUGUGAAUGAUGCUGCAGGGUAUAUGUGUGCAGAUACCUUUUCGAGAUACUGAUUUUAUCAUUUUUGGAUAUAUACCCAAAAUGAGAGUUCUGGAUCAUAUGAUAGUUCUUUCUUUAAAAUUUUUUGAGGGAUAUUUAUACUGCUUCCAUAGUAGCUGCACCAAUUUACAUUUCCACCAGCAGUGCACAAGAGUUCCCCUUUCUCCACAUUCUUAUCAGCAUUUGUUAUUGCUUGGUUUUAGGGUUUGUUUGUUUUUGUUUUUUUGUUGUUUUUUUGUGUGUGUCUUUUCUAGGGCCGCACCCACGGCCUGUGGAGGUUCCCAGGCUAGGGGUCUCAUUAGAGCUGUAGUCGCCAGCCUACGCCAGAGCCAUAGCAACACUGGAUCCGAGCUGUGUCUGCGAACUACCCCACAGCUCAUGGCAAUGCCAGAUCGUUAACCCUCUGAGCAAGGGCAGGGAUCGAACCUGCAACCUCAUGGCUCCUAGUCGGAUUUGUUAACCAUAAUGGGAACUUCUAGGGUUUGUUUGUUUCGUUGGUUUUUUCUUUUUGUCUUUUUAGGACCUUACUCACAGCACAUGUUAGUUUCCAGGCUAGGGGUUGAAAUCAGAGCUGUAGCCACCAGCCUACGUCCCAGCAAUGCUGGACCUGAGCCGUGUCUGUGACCUACACUACAGCUCAUGGCAGUGCCAGAUCCUUAACCCAUUGAGCAAGGCCAGGGAUCAAACCCGGGUUCUCAUGGAUACUAGUCAUGUUUGUUACCACUGAACCAUGACUGGAGCUCCUUUUUGGGGUUUUUCGAUAGUAGCCAUACUAAUAGGUGUGAGGUUUUAACUUUCAUUUUCCUGAUGAUGAGUGAUGUUGAGCAUCUUUUUGUGUAUUCUUUGGCCAUUUGUAUCUCUUCUUUGGAAAAAUUUUCUCUCUCCUUUUUUUAAAUCAAGUUGUAAGCUUUUUGCUAUUGAAUUAAAGGAGUUCUGUAUAUAUUUUGACUCUUAACCCCUUAUCAGAUAGAUGGUUGCAGAUAUCUUCUCCCAUCCUGUAGGUUGCCUUUUCAUUUUGUUGAUUAUUUUUUGGGACUCCUUUAAUUUAGCCCUUAUUUUUUUUGAAGGACAGUUUUGCUGGCUAUAAAAUUUUCAUUUGAUAGCCCCGCCCCCCCACCCCCUGCAUAUUAUUGUUUUUUAGGGCCUCACCUAUGGCAUAUUGAGGUUCCCAGGUUAGGGGUCAAAUCAGAGCUGCAGCCCCUGGCCUACACCACAGCCACGGAAACACCAGAUCCUUAACCCACUGAACAAAGCCAGGAAUUGAACCUGCAUCCUUAUGGUUUCUACUUGGGUUCCUUAACCUCUGAGCCACGAAGGGAGCUCCCCCUCCAGCACUUUAACUGUUGCCUUCUGGCCUUCAAAGUUUCUGUUGAGAAACCUACUAGUAAUCUUAUUUGAGAUCCCUUGCACAUGAUGAGUAGCUUUUCUCUUGCCCCUUUCAAGAGUCUCUUUUUGUGUUUGCUUUUUUCAUUGUGCAUCUUGAUGCAUUUGGUUCUUUCAUUGUGUCUUGAUGUGGGUCUCUUUAGAUUUAUCCUACUUGGAAUUUGCUGAGCUGGCCAUUGUUAAUAAGUCUACAAAUAACAAAUGCUGGAGAGGGUGUGGAGAAGAGGGAACCCUCCUACACUGUUGGUGGGAGUGUAAAUUGGUACAGCAACUGUGGAAUACAGUAUGGAGGUUCCUCAGAAGACUAAAUAUAGAACUACCAUAUGAUCCAGCAAUCCCACUCCUGGGCAUAUAUUUGGGCAAAACUGUAAUUCAAAAAGAUACAUGCACUGCUGUGUUCAUUGUAGCACUAUUCAUGUUAGUCAAGACAUGGAAACAACUUAAAUGUCCAUUGACAGAUGAAUGGAUUAAGAAGAUGUGAAUAUAUACAAUGGCAUACUACUCAGCCAUUAAAAAGAAUAAAAUGCCAUUUGCAGCAACAUGGAUGCAACUAGAGAUGAUCAUACUAAGUGAGGUAAGUUAGAGAAGGACAGAUACUCUAUGAUGUCACCUAUAUAUGGAAUCUAAAAUAUGGCACCAAAUUACCUAUCUAUAAAGCAAACAGACUCACAGACAUGAACAGACUUGUGCUUGCUAAAGGGCAGGGGGAAGGAGUAGGAUGUACUGGGAGUUUGGGGUUAGUAGAUGCAAACUAUUACAUUUAGAAUGGAUAGACAAAAAAGUCCUGUAUAGCACAGGGAACCAUAUCCAAUCUCCUGGAAUAAACCAUGAUGGAAAAUAAUUUUUUUUAAUGUAAAUAUAUGUAUGACUGAGUCAUUUUGCUAUACUGGAGAAAUUGGCAGAGUAUUGUAAAUCAACUAUAAUAAGGAAUAAAUGGGCAGAGGACCUAAAUUAACAGGUUUUCCAAUGAAGACACAAAGAUGACCAACAGGCACGUGAAAAGAUGUUCAACAUUACUAAUCAGGGAAAUGCAAAUCGAAAUCACAAUGAGAUAUCACAUCACACCUGUCAGAAGGGCUGUAAUCAAAAAGACAA
Molecule: long non-coding RNA, 4589 nt
Filed under: Sus scrofa (pig)
Lineage: Eukaryota; Metazoa; Chordata; Mammalia; Artiodactyla; Suidae
Description: lncRNA (ENSSSCG00000053111.1)
Source: RNAcentral